GCGCUUUAACAGCGUGACCGGGCCCUUGCUUUUCGGCAGCACUGGGAGGAAGUGACAGCCGCGCGUCACUUCCUCCCACAGAAACAGGAGCCACGCGGGAGGAAGUCGGACCAGCUGUUCUGGAGGGGGCCAGGCCGGGAGAGCUUAACUCCCAGCCACCCCACUGGACCCCAGGGAAGCCACCCUCCAGGAAAAGGUAAGAAACUGGAGGGUGGUUAUCAAAUUUUGCAUGAGUGUCUGUGCGUAUGUCUGUCUGUCAGUGUAUGUCUGUUAGUGUGCCAGUAUGUCGGUCAGUGUAUCUGUAUGUCUGUGUGUAUGUUUUCCAGAAUGUCUGUCAGUGU
Pelobates cultripes (western spadefoot toad) is the source of this 341-nucleotide non-coding RNA. Lineage: Eukaryota; Metazoa; Chordata; Amphibia; Anura; Pelobatidae. The record is from the annotation of a GenBank genome assembly.